This 445-nucleotide ribosomal RNA is filed under the name uncultured bacterium. Its description in RNAcentral is "partial 16S ribosomal RNA". It matches the Rfam family "Bacterial small subunit ribosomal RNA", at positions 354 to 796 of the family's 1533-position model. The record is from RNAcentral.
GUAAGGAAUAUUGGUCAAUGGACGAAAGUCUGAACCAGCCAUGCCGCGUGAAGGAUGAAGGCCCUCUGGGUUGUAAACUUCUUUUAUCUGGGACGAAAAAAGGGUAUUCUUACUCACUUGACGGUACCAGAGGAAUAAGCACCGGCUAACUCCGUGCCAGCAGCCGCGGUAAUACGGAGGGUGCAAGCGUUAUCCGGAUUCACUGGGUUUAAAGGGUGCGUAGGUGGGUAUUUAAGUCAGUGGUGAAAUCUCCGAGCUUAACUCGGAAACUGACAUUGAUACUAUUUACCUUGAAUGCCCUGGAGGUAAGCGGAAUAUGUCAUGUAGCGGUGAAAUGCUUAGAUAUGACAUAGAACACCAAUUGCGAAGGCAGCUUACUACGGGGUGAUUGACACUGAGGCACGAAAGCGUGGGGAGCAAACAGGAUUAGAUACCCGUGUAGUCC